CUGGCGUUGUUAGCCCCUGUUCAAACCUUCCACUUACGUCGACUCAGGCACUGCGCGUGUCCUUCUCUUGAUUAGGUGCGAACUUGUAUUAACCCCCCUUUUACCCCCUUUCAUUAAAAUUGUCCUGAAACGUUUUUGAUUCCUGGACUGCAUGCAGUAUGCCUACGGGCCAUCGGCUGUACGUUCAAGGGCAAAGGCACCAUACGAAACAUAAACAACUCUUAACAACGGAUAUCUUGGUUCCCGUAACGAUGAAGAACGCAGCGAAAUGCGAUACGUAAUGCGAAUUGCAGAACUCAGUGAAUCAUCAAAUCUUUGAACGCAAAUUGCGCUCACGGGAUAGGCCUGUGAGCACGCCUCUUUGAGUAUCGGUUCCAAACAAACUCCACUGCGUUAUGCAUUUGCAUAUUCGGUAAUGGGACAUUGGGUGUUUCUGGACUUCAGUCUGGAAUCGCCUUAAGAAUCAACUCUCCGCACGAACUGUCAGUCGUGGUUGCUCUGCACAAAGUUACUUUCGCCUCGGCGAUUAAUCUUGUGUUCGAUUAAACCACUCCAAGUACUGUCGGUUGGGCUCUAUGGGAGAAACAAACCAUGGUCUCCGC
This 602-nucleotide small RNA is filed under the name uncultured eukaryote. RNAcentral's name for it is "eukaryotic LSU rRNA". The stretch from base 217 to 371 matches the Rfam family "5.8S ribosomal RNA". The record is from RNAcentral.